RNAcentral lists this unclassified non-coding RNA (334 nucleotides) under soil metagenome. Its description in RNAcentral is "partial contains 5.8S ribosomal RNA, internal transcribed spacer 2, and large subunit ribosomal RNA". The stretch from base 1 to 120 matches the Rfam family "5.8S ribosomal RNA", at positions 35 to 154 of the family's 154-position model. The record is from RNAcentral.
GAUGAAGAACGUAGCGUAAUGCGAUACGUAAUGUGAAUUGCAGAAUUCAGUGAAUCAUCGAAUCUUUGAACGCACAUUGCGCCUGCCAGCACUCUGGCAGGCAUGCCUGUUCGAGCGUCAUUUCAACCAUCAAGCCCUAGGCUUGCGUUGGAGCCCUGCGGCUGCCGCAGGCCCCUAAAAGCAGUGGCGGGCUCGCUAUCACACCGAGUGCAGUAGAUUACUCUUCGCUCAGGGCGUGUGGCGGGUUCCAGCCGUGAAACCCCCUACUUCUCAAGGUUGACCUCGGAUCAGGUAGGAAUACCCGCUGAACUUAAGCAUAUCAAUAAGCGGAGGA